GACGAACGCUGGCGGCGUGCUUAACACAUGCAAGUCGAACGGUAAGGCCCUGUCGUGGGUACGCGCGUGGCGAACGAACGAGUAACACGUACGUGAUUUGCCCUGCCCUUUCUGAGAGGCAUCUUCAACUAGCUCUAAUACCUACUAGGACUACGCUCUGCAUGCCGGGUGGGGGAAAGCUUGUGCGGUGGGGGAUGGGCCCGCGGCCUAUCAGCUUGUUGGUGGGGUGGUGGCCUACCAAGGCGGGGACGGGUAGCCGGCCUGAGAGGGUGGCCGGCCACACUGGGACUGAGAUACGGCCCAGACUCCUACGGGAGGCAGCAGUGGGGAAUAUUGCACAAUGGGCGGAAGCCUGAUGCAGCGACGCCGCGUGGGGGAUGACGGCCUUCGGGUUGUAAACCGCUUUCAGCAGAGACGAAGCGUAAGUGACGGUAUGUGCAGAAGAAGCACCGGCCAACUACGUG
Molecule: ribosomal RNA, 464 nt
Filed under: uncultured bacterium
Lineage: Bacteria
Description: partial 16S ribosomal RNA
Rfam family: Bacterial small subunit ribosomal RNA
Source: RNAcentral